RNAcentral lists this ribosomal RNA (798 nucleotides) under uncultured Glomus. RNAcentral's name for it is "SSU rRNA". It matches the Rfam family "Eukaryotic small subunit ribosomal RNA", at positions 314 to 1114 of the family's 1831-position model. Lineage: Eukaryota; Fungi; Glomeromycota; Glomeromycetes; Glomerales; Glomeraceae. The record is from RNAcentral.
AUCAACUUUCGAUGGUAGGAUAGAGGCCUACCAUGGUGGUAACGGGUAACGGGGUGUUAGGGCACGACACCGGAGAGGGAGCCUGAGAAACGGCUACCACAUCCAAGGAUGGCAGCAGGCGCGCAAAUUACCCAAUCCCGACACGGGGAGGUAGUGACAAUAAAUAACAAUACGGGGUUCUUUCGGAUUUCGUAAUUGGAAUGAGUACAAUUUAAAUCUCUUAACGAGGAACAAUUGGAGGGCAAGUCUGGUGCCAGCAGCCGCGGUAAUUCCAGCUCCAAUAGCGUAUAUUAAAGUUGCUGCAGUUAAAAAGCUCGUAGUUGAAUUUCGGGACCAAUAUGUCGGUCGUGCCUCGGUACGUACUGGCAUCGUUGGUUUCUCCCUUCUGAAGAACCAUGAUGUCAUUUAUUUGGUGUCGUGGGGAAUCAGGACUGUUACUUUGAAAAAAUUAGAGUGUUUAAAGCAGGCUCACGCUUGAAUACAUUAGCAUGGAAUAAUGAAAUAGGACGUUUGAUUCUAUUUUGUUGGUUUCUAGGAUCGACGUAAUGAUUAAUAGGGAUAGUUGGGGGCAUUAGUAUUCAAUUGUCAGAGGUGAAAUUCUUGGAUUUAUUGAAGACUAACUACUGCGAAAGCAUUUGCCAAGGAUGUUUUCAUUAAUCAAGAACGAAAGUUAGGGGAUCGAAGACGAUCAGAUACCGUCGUAGUCUUAACCAUAAACUAUGCCGACUAGGGAUCGGAUGAUGUUAAUUUUUUAAUGACUCAUUCGGCGCCUUACGGGAAACCAAAGUGUUUGGGUUC